This 440-nucleotide ribosomal RNA is filed under the name uncultured bacterium. RNAcentral's name for it is "partial 16S ribosomal RNA". It matches the Rfam family "Bacterial small subunit ribosomal RNA", at positions 338 to 795 of the family's 1533-position model. The record is from RNAcentral.
CCUACGGGAGGCAGCAGUGGGGAAUAUUGCACAAUGGGGGAAACCCUGAUGCAGCGACGCCGCGUGAGUGAAGAAGUAUUUCGGUACGUAAAGCUCUAUCAGCAGGGAAGAAAAUGACGGUACCUGACUAAGAAGCCCCGGCUAACUACGUGCCAGCAGCCGCGGGCAUACGUAGGGGGCAAGCGUUAUGCGGAUUUACUGGGUGUAAAGGGAGCGUAGACGGCAGCGCAAGUCUGGAGUGAAAUCCCAUGGCUUAACCAUGGAACUGCUUUGGAAACUGUGCAGCGAGAGUGCAGGAGAGGUAAGCAGAAUUCCUAGUGUAGCGGUGAAAUGCGUAGAGAUUAGGAGGAACACCAGUGGCGAAGGCGGCUUACUGGACUGUAACUGACGUUGAGGCUCGAAAGCGUGGGGAGCAAACAGGAUUAGAUACCCCUGUAGUC